GGUUUGAUUAUGGCUCAGAUGAACGCUGCGAUGCUUUACACAUGCAAGUCGAAUGGCAGCACGGACUUCGGCUCGGUGGCGAGUGGCGAACGGGUGAGUAAUGUAUCUGGAACGUGCCUAGUAUGGGGAGGCUAACUACGCGAAAGCGUAGAUAAUACCGCAUACGCCCUUCGGGGGAAAGUGGGGACCUUCGGGCCUCGCACUAUUAGAGCGGCCGAUAUCGGAUUAGCUUAGUUGGUGGGGUGCAACGGCUCACCAAGGCGACGAUCCGUAGCUGGUUUGAGAGGACGUGACCAGCCAGACACCUGCCGGGACUGGAGCGGCCCCAGACUCCUACGGGAGGCAGUGGGGAAUUUUGGACAAUGGGGAAACCCUGAUCCACAGUCAUCCAUGCGUGCGAUGAAGGCCUUCGGUCAGAAGCACUUUGGCAGAAGAAACGGCACGGGAUAAUACCCUGCAAAAACUGAUACCACUGCAGGAAAUAAGCACCGGCUGCACCACGCCAGCAGCCGCGGUAAUACGUAGGGUAAGCGUUAAUCGACUACAUUGGGCGUAAAGUGCGCAGGCGCGUUCGGAAAGAGAGGAACCGAGCUUAACUUUGGAAUCCGCAUUUAAUCACGAGCUAGAGGUGUAUUGAGAGGGAGGUGAAUUCCGCGUGUAGCAGUGAAAUGCGUAGAUAUGCGGAGGAACACCGAUGGCGAAGGCAGCCUGGGAGGACACCGAGCUCUGGCGCACGAAAGUUACGGGGAGCAAACAGAUUAGAUAACGGUAGUCCACGUCAAACGAUGCCGUCAACUAGCUGCCAAAUUUUCUGAAAAUUAGGUAUGCGCCAACGCGUGAAGUUGACCGCCUUGAGUACGGUCGUGAUUAAAACCACAAAGAAUUACUGGGGACCCGCACAAGCGGUGGAUGCGAUGUGAUUGAAUUCGACGCAACGCGAAAACCUGACGCACCCUGCGACAUGUCUGAAUCCGAAGAGAUUUGGGUAUGCUCGUAAGAGAACCGAACACAGGUGCUGCAUGGCUGUCAGCUCUCGUGUCGAGAUGUUGGGUUAAGUCCCGCAACGAGCGCAAAACUCUGUCAUUAGUUGCUACGAAAGCGGCACUGACGAGACCGUUGGUGAUAAACCAGGAGGCGUGGAUACGACGUCAAGCCCUCAUGGCCCUGGCGGGUGAAGCUUCAUCGCCAAUGGCCGGGCUGAGGUCGCCAACCCGCGUGAGGGGAGCCACAAUCUCAGAAACCGAUCGGUCCGGAUCGCAGUCUGCACCACCAGAAGUCGAAUCGCCAGUAAUCGCGGAUCAGCAUGUCGCGGUGAAUACGUUCCCGGUCUUCGUGCUAGCACCGCCGUCACAUCAGCGGAGUGGCCUUACCAGAAGUAGUUAGCCUAACCGUGGAGGCGAUUACCACGGUAGGAUUCGACACCAAGUCGUAACAAGGUAG
This 1440-nucleotide ribosomal RNA is filed under the name uncultured Bordetella sp. RNAcentral's name for it is "partial 16S-23S ribosomal RNA intergenic spacer". It matches the Rfam family "Bacterial small subunit ribosomal RNA". The record is from RNAcentral. Lineage: Bacteria; Pseudomonadati; Pseudomonadota; Betaproteobacteria; Burkholderiales; Alcaligenaceae.